This is a non-coding RNA of Schistocerca americana (American grasshopper), 72 nucleotides long. Lineage: Eukaryota; Metazoa; Arthropoda; Insecta; Orthoptera; Acrididae. The record is from the annotation of a RefSeq genome assembly.
GCCAGUGUGGCGCAGUGGGUAGCGCACCUGCCCAGUAAGUAGGAGACCCCAGUUCGAAUCCUGGUGCUGGCA